This 454-nucleotide unclassified non-coding RNA is filed under the name Hevea brasiliensis (rubber tree). The record is from RNAcentral. Lineage: Eukaryota; Viridiplantae; Streptophyta; Magnoliopsida; Malpighiales; Euphorbiaceae.
AGCAAGCUCACAUCGUCUUUAACUGUGUUGGUCAUUAGCUUUUCAACCAUCUCUUCUGCUGAAAGUUCCCUGUUGCCAUUUUUGUUUAUAAGCUCUCUGAAACUCUGGUCCAGUCGCUGUGCCUUGGGCCAUGGAGAGUCGAGUUGUGCAUUUGUGAGGACAUGAAUGCCGGGGGAAACCUCAGUGACAAGGCUGUCGCUGUCAUUUGUUUGUCUGUUGGUGAUGUAAGACAUGGUUUUGGAGGAAAUGUCAGCAAUUAUUAAGUUGAAACCGUUGUACUGGUGUGCUUCCUUUGCAACUUCUUUGGCAAAGUCAAGUGGACUCUUCUGGCUUUUCAAGAAACGAACGGGGAGCUCUCCCCUGCUCUUAGCCUGAGGAAGCGACUGAACUUCCCUGAAAUUUGUGAUGAAUGCAACUCUGCCAUUUCUUGAGCAAGCCAGCCACGUCCCACCGG